This 429-nucleotide ribosomal RNA is filed under the name uncultured bacterium. RNAcentral describes it as "bacterial SSU rRNA". It matches the Rfam family "Bacterial small subunit ribosomal RNA", at positions 355 to 776 of the family's 1533-position model. The record is from RNAcentral.
UGGGGAAUAUUGCACAAUGAGCGAAAGCUUGAUGCAGCCAUACCGCGUGUGUGAAGAAGGCCCGAGGGUUGUAAAGCACUUUCAAUUGUGAGGAAGGUAGUGUAGUUAAUACCUGCAUUGCUUGACGUUAACUUUAGAAGAAGCACCGGCUAACUCUGUGCCAGCAGCCGCGGUAAUACAGAGGGUGCAAGCGUUAUUCGGAAUUACUGGGCGUAAAGCGCGCGUAGGCGGAUUAUUAAGUCAGUUGUGAAAGCCCUGGGCUCAACCUGGGAACUGCAUCUGAUACUGGUAAUCUAGAGUUUAAGAGAGGGAAGUGGAAUUCCAGGUGUAGCAGUGAAAUGCGUAGAUAUCUGGAGGAACAUCAGUGGCGAAGGCGACUUCCUGGCUUAAAACUGACGCUGAGGUGCGAAAGCGUGGGUAGCGAACGGG